UGGACCAGUGAUGAGGACUCACGGCAUGAGAAUUGUGGGCAAUGAAAAAAAUAUGUGUCUGAAACGCUGAGGAGCCAA
RNAcentral lists this small nucleolar RNA (78 nucleotides) under Catagonus wagneri (Chacoan peccary). Its description in RNAcentral is "Small nucleolar RNA SNORD113/SNORD114 family (ENSCWAG00000005363.1)". It matches the Rfam family "Small nucleolar RNA SNORD113/SNORD114 family". From Rfam's summary of the family: The imprinted human domain at 14q32 contains two clusters of tandemly repeated small nucleolar RNAs named 14q(I) and 14q(II) snoRNAs. These two clusters are named SNORD113 and SNORD114 respectively in the HGNC approved gene symbol nomenclature. The snoRNAs found in both clusters are clearly related and are represented here by a single family. Lineage: Eukaryota; Metazoa; Chordata; Mammalia; Artiodactyla; Tayassuidae. The record is from Rfam by way of RNAcentral.